Molecule: ribosomal RNA, 460 nt
Filed under: uncultured bacterium
Lineage: Bacteria
Description: partial 16S ribosomal RNA
Rfam family: Bacterial small subunit ribosomal RNA
Source: RNAcentral
CCUACGGGAGGCAGCAGUGAGGAAUAUUGGUCAAUGGACGAGAGUCUGAACCAGCCAAGUAGCGUGAAGGAUGACUGCCCUAUGGGUUGUAAACUUCUUUUAUAUGGGAAUAAAAUGUUCCACGUGUGGGAUUUUGUAUGUACCAUAUGAAUAAGGAUCGGCUAACUCCGUGCCAGCAGCCGCGGUAAUACGGAGGAUCUGAGCGUUAUCCGGAUUGAUUGGGUUUAAAGGGAGCGUAGGUGGAUUGUUAAGUCAGUUGUGAAAGUUUGCGGCUCAAACGUAAAAUUGCAGUUGAAACUGGCAGUCUUGAGUACAGUAGAGGUGGGCGGAAUUCGUGGUGUAGCGGUGAAAUGCUUAGAUAUCACGAAGAACUCUGAUUGCGAAGGCAGCUCACUGGACUGCAACUGACACUGAGGCUCGAAAGUGUGGGUAUCAAACAGGAUUAGAUACCCGUGUAGUC